GGAUGAGAAUUGUCCGUCGGUUCUGUAAAAUUUUAUGUGUCUUGAUUUUUUUAGGUUGCUUUCGUAUUAAAUUAGUAUAAUUAUUUAUUAAAAAAAAAAAUCUGUGGGUGAGCAACAGUAGUCUCAAACAGACCAUUGUUUGGGAAUGGCAAACAAGGGGCGAAGGGACCAAGGGAGGGGCUCUGCGUCCUCCAAUUAAGAGG
RNAcentral lists this long non-coding RNA (203 nucleotides) under Elaeis guineensis (African oil palm). RNAcentral's name for it is "long non-coding RNA (EGUI_LNC015551)". Lineage: Eukaryota; Viridiplantae; Streptophyta; Magnoliopsida; Arecales; Arecaceae. The record is from RNAcentral.